UGAAUGUGAAGAAUUGAUUCUAUCCAAAAAAUUGAUUUGAUAGGAAGCGGAAUAGAAAUUGUCAGAUCGUAAACUUCUUUUUUGAGAGAUAGGUAGCACGCUACCUAAUUCGUUUAUUUCAUUUAGAAAUAAAUUUAGUUAGAAAUGUGAAUCAAGUAGGAUUCAAAUUUGGGUCUCGGGUACCAACCACCAAACCCUUACCACUUACUCUAGGGACAGUCGGUGUCAGAUCGUAAACUUCAAAACUUAAACUUUUAUUCUA
RNAcentral lists this long non-coding RNA (262 nucleotides) under Ananas comosus (pineapple). Its description in RNAcentral is "long non-coding RNA (ACOM_LNC004099)". Lineage: Eukaryota; Viridiplantae; Streptophyta; Magnoliopsida; Poales; Bromeliaceae. The record is from RNAcentral.